UUCGCGUCUCUGUGUCUCUUUCUGUCUGCCAGUGGGGCCAUAAAACCCAAAAUAAUACUAAGUAAAAAAAAAAUGUUUUGUGUGAAACAGCCCCCCCUCGGGAAGGCCCCUCCUCCCAUGUGUGGCGCUCGGGUUCGGCGGUUUGGAGAUCGGAACUGCGAGAUCGGCUCUCUUCGCGUUCGCGUUCGCAUUCGCUGCGGCUUUGUCUAAACAACAAAAUAUUGAAUUUAAUUUUUUAGUGUUAGUUGCUCUCUAACAAUUUCGGAGUCGUUAUCGCAUGCGCAUGUCGCGUUCGCGCCUCCGUCGAAUAAUUUUCUGUGUUCCGCCCGCCUUCGAGUUUUCCAUCGACGUCCUACGACUGGAAUAAUCGCCACUCCUGCUUACGAAUCCGUUGACGAUCCAGUUUAUAAGUCCCAUACACACAAACCGAUCCCCAAUUCGAGGGACGAGUGCGCGAGUGUGUGCGGGGGGCAUUCGAAAAUAAUGCCGAUUAAUUAAACAUAUUGACCAGUGGCCGUAAAUAAUGGAAUUUGAAAUUCACCCGUGUUGAAAAGUUCAUUACAUUGUGAGUCCGAGCACACAAAAAUAUUUAUAACUGCAUUUGAAAAAUAAUUCCGGGCCGAUAUUUAAUGACGGCUACCCAACGGAUUUUUAUGAGUUUGACGAUUUCGUUUCAAAUUAUUAAGUGAUUGGGUGAAAUAUUCCUCUGGUCUUAUCACACAGUUCAUAGAAUCAUUAAAGGCGAUUUUGACCAAAAGCACUACCGAAAUAACUGUAUCAAUAAAAAGCUGUACGCGUCACUGGAAGUGAGCAGACCGGUGGAGUAGAUCCAUCCCCAUUCAGCAGCGGUGCAGACCCACCAAGCACCACCCCAGCAACAAAUCUCAGCGGUGGCGUCCGGCCAAAACCACCUCGUUGCGCCGAC
This is a long non-coding RNA of Drosophila simulans, 925 nucleotides long. RefSeq lists it as uncharacterized. Lineage: Eukaryota; Metazoa; Arthropoda; Insecta; Diptera; Drosophilidae. The transcript is spliced from 3 exons. The record is from RefSeq and is a predicted model, not a curated record.